RNAcentral lists this ribosomal RNA (467 nucleotides) under uncultured bacterium. RNAcentral describes it as "partial 16S ribosomal RNA". It matches the Rfam family "Bacterial small subunit ribosomal RNA", at positions 29 to 507 of the family's 1533-position model. The record is from RNAcentral.
ACGAACGCUGGCGGCGUGCUUAACACAUGCAAGUCGAACGGAAAGGCCCUGCUUUUGUGGGGUGCUCGAGUGGCGAACGGGUGAGUAACACGUGAGUAACCUGCCCUUGACUUUGGGAUAACUUCAGGAAACUGGGGCUAAUACCGGAUAGGAGCUCCUGCUGCAUGGUGGGGGUUGGAAAGUUUCGGCGGUUGGGGAUGGACUCGCGGCUUAUCAGCUUGUUGGUGGGGUAGUGGCUUACCAAGGCUUUGACGGGUAGCCGGCCUGAGAGGGUGACCGGCCACAUUGGGACUGAGAUACGGCCCAUACUCCUACGGGAGGCAGCAGUGGGGAAUAUUGCACAAUGGGCGGAAGCCUGAUGCAGCAACGCCGCGUGCGGGAUGACGGCCUUCGGGUUGUAAACCGCUUUCGCCUGUGACGAAGCGUGAGUGACGGUAAUGGGUAAAGAAGCACCGGCUAACUACGUG